CGUUGCUGUAGCUUCCCAUAUGUCUGCCCAAUCGCUCUGGUUCCCUAUGGGGCCAAGGUCUCUCUCCCAGGCUGCAGUGUAGGACAGAGAUCCCUCUCGUGGUUGUCUGCUUAGUAAGGAGUAUAAGGUUGAUAUUUGUCCCGUGCCUAGUGGAUGUGUGUUGCACGCUUUUUCCAGCGGUGUGAGAGGGGAGUUGCUCGCUUUCACUAAGGCUGGUUUUUC
Pelobates cultripes (western spadefoot toad) is the source of this 222-nucleotide non-coding RNA. The record is from the annotation of a GenBank genome assembly. NCBI's taxonomy places the organism in Eukaryota, Metazoa, Chordata, Amphibia, Anura, Pelobatidae.